This 460-nucleotide ribosomal RNA is filed under the name uncultured bacterium. RNAcentral's name for it is "partial 16S ribosomal RNA". It matches the Rfam family "Bacterial small subunit ribosomal RNA", at positions 338 to 795 of the family's 1533-position model. The record is from RNAcentral.
CCUACGGGUGGCAGCAGUGAGGAAUAUUGGUCAAUGGACGCAAGUCUGAACCAGCCAUGCCGCGUGCAGGAAGACGGCUCUAUGAGUUGUAAACUGCUUUUGUACGAGGGUAAACGCAGAUACGCGUACCUGUCUGAAAGUAUCGUACGACUAAGGAUCGGCUAACUCCGUGCCAGCAGCCGCGGUAAUACGGAGGAUUCAAGCGUUAUCCGGAUUUAUUGGGUUUAAAGGGUGCGUAGGCGGUCGGAGAAGUUAGAGGUGAAAUCCCGGGGCUCAACUUCGGAAUUGCCUCUGAUACUGUACGGCUAGAGAGUAGUUGCGGUAGGCGGAAUGUAUGGUGUAGCGGUGAAAUGCUUAGAGAUCACGCAGAACACCGAUUGCGAAGGCAGCUUGCCGAGCUACUACUGACGUUGAGGCACGAAAGCGUGGGGAGCAAACAGGAUUAGAUACCCUAGUAGUC